Molecule: ribosomal RNA, 507 nt
Filed under: uncultured bacterium
Lineage: Bacteria
Description: bacterial SSU rRNA
Rfam family: Bacterial small subunit ribosomal RNA
Source: RNAcentral
AACGAACGCUGGCGGCGUGGAUAAGACAUGCAAGUCGAACGCUGAUUUGGAGGUAGCAAUAUUUUCAAGUCGGAGUGGCGCAAGGGUGCGUAACACGUGGGCAAUCUGCCGUGAAGACCGGGAUAACCUGCUGAAAGGCGAGCUAAUACCGGAUGUGGAAAUUGGGAGGCAUCUUCUGAUUUUCAAAGUUGGGGACCGCAAGGCCUGACGCUUCACGAUGAGCCCGCGGCCUAUCAGCUAGUUGGUAAGGUAACGGCUUACCAAGGCUAAGACGGGUAGCUGGUCUGAGAGGACGACCAGUCACACUGGAACUGAGACACGGUCCAGACACCUACGGGUGGCAGCAGUCGAGAAUUUUUCUCAAUGGGCGAAAGCCUGAAGGAGCGACGCCGCGUGGGGGAUGAAGGGCUUCGGCUCGUAAACCCCUGUCAUUUGCGAACAAACCUUUUCACUUAACACGUGAAGAGCUGAUUGUAGCGAAAGAGGAAGGGACGGCUAACUCUGUGC